UACGGGGGGGGCAAGCGUUGUUCGGAAUUACUGGGCGUAAAGGGCGCGUAGGCGGUUCGAUAAGUCAGCUGUGAAAACCAUGGGCUUAACUCAUGGCCUGCAGUUGAGACUGUCGGGCUGGAGUGUGGGAGAGGAGAGUGGAAUUCCUGGUGUAGCGGUGAAAUGCGUAGAUAUCAGGAGGAACACCGGUGGCGAAGGCGGCUCUCUGGACCACAACUGACGCUGAGGAGCGAAAGCGUGGGGAGCGAACAGG
Molecule: ribosomal RNA, 253 nt
Filed under: uncultured bacterium
Lineage: Bacteria
Description: partial 16S ribosomal RNA
Rfam family: Bacterial small subunit ribosomal RNA
Source: RNAcentral